Non-coding RNA from Ictidomys tridecemlineatus (thirteen-lined ground squirrel), 69 nucleotides. NCBI's taxonomy places the organism in Eukaryota, Metazoa, Chordata, Mammalia, Rodentia, Sciuridae. The record is from Rfam.
GGAGCUGUAGCUCAGUGGUAGAGCACAUGUCUAGAAUGUAUGAAGCACCUGGUUUGACUCUCAGCACCA